This 460-nucleotide ribosomal RNA is filed under the name uncultured bacterium. RNAcentral describes it as "partial 16S ribosomal RNA". It matches the Rfam family "Bacterial small subunit ribosomal RNA", at positions 338 to 795 of the family's 1533-position model. The record is from RNAcentral.
CCUACGGGAGGCAGCAGUGAGGAAUAUUGGUCAAUGGACGAGAGUCUGAACCAGCCAAGUAGCGUGAAGGAUGACUGCCCUAUGGGUUGUAAACUUCUUUUAUAAAGGAAUAAAACGAGGCACGUGUGCCUUUUUGCAUGUACUUUAUGAAUAAGGAUCGGCUAACUCCGUGCCAGCAGCCGCGGUAAUACGGAGGAUACGAGCGUUAUCCGGAUUUAUUGGGUUUAAAGGGAGCGUAGAUGGGUUGUUAAGUCAGUUGUGAAAGUUUGCGGCUCAACCGUAAAAUUGCAAUUGAGACUGGCAGUCUUGAGUACAGUUGAGGUAGGCGGAAUUCGUGGUGUAGCGGUGAAAUGCUUAGAUAUCUCGAAGAACCCCGAUUGCGAAGGCAGCUUACUGAGCUGUGACUGACGUUGAUGCUCGAAAGUGUGGGUAGCAAACAGGAUUAGAUACCCCAGUAGUC